Long non-coding RNA from Mangifera indica (mango), 1028 nucleotides. RefSeq lists it as uncharacterized. NCBI's taxonomy places the organism in Eukaryota, Viridiplantae, Streptophyta, Magnoliopsida, Sapindales, Anacardiaceae. The record is from RefSeq and is a predicted model, not a curated record. The transcript is spliced from 2 exons.
UAAAUCAUAAAUUAAUUUCUCAAAAUUACAGUUAAAAGCACGAAUGGCAAACGCAGCAUCACUAAAACCACGUGGCAUUAAGCCUCCAUCCUUUCUCAAGUAACAAAAUCACCAAAUUUCUUAUCAAUUACCGCCCCUGGCCUCAGGCUGACCAUCGCUGAGUACACCUCACAGCCAACAAAAUUAUCUCUUUUACAUGGCACUCUUCUCUCCACAACCACAACUCCACCGCCACCCCCACAGCGCACGAAAUCUUCUUCAAGCCCCCCAACACUCCUCCGUCUUGCAUUUUAGCCCCUUCUUGCUUCUCUUUUCUGUAAUCCUUUAAGCCCCACAAACGCUUCCAUUUCCUCAAGCCAUGUUCCUCCCUGAAACAGACCAAGAAGCAGAAGACCCUUCAGAAGAGUAAUGCCCCUUAGAGUGUGAAAUGGUUCUUGAGUCCCAAGAGUGGUGGUGGUGAUGAUGAUGAUGAUGAAAAUAAGAGUACAGGAAAGGGCUUGGAUAGUGAUACUGCUUUAAAAGGUACCCUUUUGGCUGGAGUUUUGCUUGUAGGUGUUGUUGGUGGAUUUGAGAGUGUUGGGCAUAUCUAUAAGGACCAGAUCAAUGCGUUUUUGGACCAGUUUUCUAUGUUUAUUGAAGAUAGGAUUGUAGAGCAGAAGGGCGGUGACAGGGAAGCCAGCUAGUCAGCUUGAGGCAACUUAUAAGGAUAGGGGUAUUUUGGUCUUUUUCAUUAUUGGACAAUGUUUAUAUAUUUUGGGAUUUAUUUGCAUUUCUUUACACAUUAUGAGUGUUAUUAAUUGGUUUUUAGACUUCUAAAUUUUGUUUUAUGAAUUAAUAAAUCCACUUCUAGGAUUUUGGGACCUUAUUUUAUUAUGCAUGUUUUUACUGCGAGAACUAUGUAAGAAAUAAUAAUUUAACUCGUCUCUUUGGGUGCAUAUUUUGAGUAAAGGUAUGUAUCUAGAGAGAAGUAUUAUAUUUUUUGUAUCAAAGCAUGGUUUUGAAAAAUCAAAAGUGUUCAAUGUGAAAAA